AUCUUGGACAAUGGGGGNAACCCUGAUCCAGCCAUGCCGCGUGAGUGACGAAGGCCUUAGGGUCGUAAAGCUCUUUCACCUGUGAAGAUAAUGACGGUAGCAGUAAAAGAAACCCCGGCUAACUCCGUGCCAGCAGCCGCGGUAAUACGGAGGGGGUUAGCGUUGUUCGGAAUUACUGGGCGUAAAGCGCGCGUAGGCGGACUAUUAAGUCAGGGGUGAAAUCCCGGGGCUCAACCCCGGAACUGCCUUUGAUACUGGUAGUCUAGAGUUCGAGAGAGGUGAGUGGAACUCCGAGUGUAGAGGUGAAAUUCGUAGAUAUUCGGAAGAACACCAGUGGCGAAGGCGGCUCACUGGCUCGAUACUGACGCUGAGGUGCGAAAGUGUGGGGAGCAAACAGGAUUAGAUACCCUGGUAGUCCACACCGUAAACGAUGAAUGCCAGUCGUCAGAGGGCUUGCCCUUUGGUGACACACCUAACGGAUUAAGCAUUCCGGCCUGGGGAGUACGG
RNAcentral lists this ribosomal RNA (507 nucleotides) under uncultured Alphaproteobacteria bacterium. RNAcentral's name for it is "bacterial SSU rRNA". It matches the Rfam family "Bacterial small subunit ribosomal RNA", at positions 361 to 885 of the family's 1533-position model. The record is from RNAcentral. Lineage: Bacteria; Pseudomonadati; Pseudomonadota; Alphaproteobacteria.